This 361-nucleotide long non-coding RNA is filed under the name Mytilus galloprovincialis (Mediterranean mussel). The record is from RNAcentral. Lineage: Eukaryota; Metazoa; Mollusca; Bivalvia; Mytilida; Mytilidae.
CUGAAAUAGAUGACGAGAGCAAAGAAGUAAGAGAAAACGCUGACAAAGAAAGACUGAAUGAGCUCUUUAAAGACUGCAAAAUACAACUGGAUAAGGAAAACUUGAAAACAAUUAAAAGACUCGGGAAAUUUAACAAAGAAAAGCUAAAUAGACCAAUCCUAGUAAAAUUACCAAGUGCAGAACCUAAGAUCACCCUAUUCAGAAUAUAAUUACAUAAAAACAAACCCAAAAUACGAAAAAGUGGGAGUUAGUAACGACCUAACCCAAGCAGAAAGAGAGCAAGAGAAAAGAUUGUGGGAUCAAGCAAGAAGACAAACCUAGGAAGAGGUUUCGGGGGACUACCAUUUCAGAGUAAGGGGCC